UAACACGUGGGUAAUCUGCCUGGGGAGAUUGGGAUAACCAUCCGAAAGGAUGGCUAAUACCAGAUAAGACCACGAGGACUUCGGUCCUUGAGGGAAAAGGUGGCCUCUGUAUACAAGCUAUCACUUCCAGAUGAGCCCGCGGCCCAUCAGCUAGUUGGUGAGGUAAUGGCUCACCAAGGCAACGACGGGUAGCUGGUCUGAGAGGACGAUCAGCCACACUGGAACUGAGACACGGUCCAGACUCCUACGGGAGGCAGCAGUGGGGAAUUUUGCGCAAUGGGCGAAAGCCUGACGCAGCAACGCCGCGUGUGUGAUGAAGGUCUUCGGAUUGUAAAGCACUUUCGACCGGGACGAAACCCGUCUGGCUAACAUCCAGGCGCUUGACGGUACCGGGAGAAGAAGCACCGGCUAACUCUGUGCCAGCAGCCGCGGUAA
Molecule: ribosomal RNA, 435 nt
Filed under: uncultured delta proteobacterium
Lineage: Bacteria; Deltaproteobacteria
Description: bacterial SSU rRNA
Rfam family: Bacterial small subunit ribosomal RNA
Source: RNAcentral